AGGGGGGAGUUUGAACAAACGUUUUACUUACACUAAAAAGAUUCUUUUGAAGAGUCCCUAA
This 61-nucleotide transfer RNA is filed under the name Phallocryptus tserensodnomi. RNAcentral's name for it is "tRNA-Val". The record is from RNAcentral. Lineage: Eukaryota; Metazoa; Arthropoda; Branchiopoda; Anostraca; Thamnocephalidae.